AGAGUUUUAUCCUGGCUCAGGAUGAACGCUGGCGGCGUGCCUAACACAUGCAAGUCGAGCGAGAAGUCUGCAAAAGAAACUUCGGUGGACAUUGGAGAUGGAAAGCGGCGGACGGGUGAGUAACGCGUAGGCAACCUGCCCUUUGCAGAGGGAUAGCCUCGGGAAACCGGGAUUAAAACCACAUAAAGCCGGGAGACCGCAUGGGAUACCGGUCAAAGAUUUAUCGGCAGAGGAUGGGCCUGCGUCUGAUUAGUUAGUUGGUGAGGUAACGGCUCACCAAGGCAAUGAUCAGUAGCCGACCUGAGAGGGUGAACGGCCACAUUGGAACUGAGACACGGUCCAAACUCCUACGGGAGGCAGCAGUGGGGAAUAUUGCACAAUGGGGGAAACCCUGAUGCAGCAACGCCGCGUGAGCGAAGAAGGCCUUUGGGUCGUAAAGCUCUGUCGGAAGGGAAGAAGGACGUGACGGUACCUUCCGAGGAAGCCCCGGCUAACUACGUGCCAGCAGCCGCGGUAAUACGUAGGGGGCAAGCGUUAUCCGGAAUUAUUGGGCGUAAAGAGUACGUAGGCGGUCUUUUAAGCGCAGGGUAUAAGGCAAGGGCUUAACCUUUGUUGGCCCUGUGAACUGGAGGACUUGAGUAUCGGAGAGGGAAGCGGAAUUCCUAGUGUAGCGGUGAAAUGCGUAGAUAUUAGGAGGAACACCAGUGGCGAAGGCGGCUUUCUGGACGAAAACUGACGCUGAGGUACGAAAGCGUGGGGAGCAAACAGGAUUAGAUACCCUGGUAGUCCACGCUGUAAACGAUGAGCACUAGGUGUCGGGGUGGCUAGACUCCUGUGCCGGAGUUGUCGCAAUAAGUGAUCUGCUCGGGGGGGCGGCACGCAAGUGUGAAACUCAAAGGAAUGGCCGGGGACCGGCUCAAGCAGCGGAGCAGGCGGUUUAAUUAGAAGCUAUGUGAAGAGCCUUCCCAGGGCUUGACAUCCAUCUGUCAGGCUUCUAAUGGAGGCAUUGUUCGGGCUGAGGAGACAGGUGGGGCAGGGUGGUGGUCAUCUGGGGUCGUGGGAGGGGGGGAGAAGUCACGCAACGAGCGCCAUCCCUAUCCUCAGUAGCCAGCACUUAAGGUGGGCAGUCUGGGGAGGUUUCCAGGGAUGAAAGGGAGGAAGGAGGGGAAGGCGUCAAAUCAUCAUGCGCUCUAUGAUUUGGCCCACCCGCGUGCUCCAAUGGUGUAUACAAAGGGAAGGGAGAGUGGGAGAGGGAGCGGAUCCCAAAAAUAAUCUCGCAGCUGGGACGGUCGUGAGCAACCCGAGUACAUGAAGCGGGAAUCGCGAGUAAUCGAGGAUCGGAACACCGCGGGGAAUGCGUUCCCGGGUCUUGGACUCGCCGCCCGUCA
Molecule: ribosomal RNA, 1388 nt
Filed under: uncultured bacterium
Lineage: Bacteria
Description: 16S ribosomal RNA
Rfam family: Bacterial small subunit ribosomal RNA
Source: RNAcentral